GACGAACGCUGGCGGCGUGCUUAACACAUGCAAGUCGAACGGAAAGGCCCUGCUUUUGUGGGGUGCUCGAGUGGCGAACGGGUGAGUAACACUUGAGUAACCUGCCCUUGACUUUGGGAUAACUUCAGGAAACUGGGGCUAAUACCGGAUAGGAGCUCCUGCUGCAUGGUGGGGGUUGGAAAGUUUCGGCGGUUGGGGAUGUACUCGCGGCUUAUCAGCUUGUUGGUGGGGUAGUGGCUUACCAAGGCUUUGACGGGUAGCCGGCCUGAGAGGGUGACCGGCCACAUUGGGACUGAGAUACGGCACAGCCUCCUACGGGAGGCAGCAGUGGGGAAUAUUGCACAAUGGGCGGAAGCCUGAUGCAGCAACGCCGCGUGGGGGAUGACGGCCUUCGGGUUGUAAACCGCUUUCGCCUGUGACGAAGCGUGAGUGACGGUAAUGGGUAAAGAAGCACCGGCUAACUACGUG
RNAcentral lists this ribosomal RNA (468 nucleotides) under uncultured bacterium. RNAcentral describes it as "partial 16S ribosomal RNA". It matches the Rfam family "Bacterial small subunit ribosomal RNA", at positions 28 to 507 of the family's 1533-position model. The record is from RNAcentral.